This 1387-nucleotide long non-coding RNA is filed under the name Cricetulus griseus (Chinese hamster). Its description in RNAcentral is "lncRNA (ENSCGRG00015035366.1)". The record is from RNAcentral. Lineage: Eukaryota; Metazoa; Chordata; Mammalia; Rodentia; Cricetidae.
CCCAUAGCAGGGAAUACGCGCUCUUCCUGGAGUCUUCAGGCAGAUAAGCACUCGGUCCCUUGUACUCUAGAACCGACCGGGAUUAUUUUCCAGUCACACAUCAAUGAGGGGGGUUCCUCCCAAGGGGUGACAUUCCCUCUGCCUGUCUUGACUGUUAUCUGAGAAACCGGCUGACCUGCAGUUGGAGGAGGGGGCUGACUCCCUUACUCAGUGCUGGAAUCCAGCAGCUGCUUCCUCCUGUCACCUACCGAGCAGCCUCCAAUAGAGAUCCCCAAUGACCCACUGUUUCCGUGAGGCAUUCAUGCUGCCAAGAAUCUGCAAGGCUCUCUGUGGUUCUCUAAUCGUCUCUGAUGAAUGGGAAAAGCGCAAACUGGACUGUUUCAGCUGCUCCGGCCCACUCGACCCUGUCUGCUGCUCUGUUCUGGGCUCUGUUCUUCCAGGCUUGUAACCAGCUGUCUUCCAGCCCUGGAGCAAAAGUUCCACAACGACACUUCUGUUUGUUUAUUGGUUUGUUUUUGAGACAUGGUCUCAAUACACAGCCAGUGCUUGGGCUUGAACCUAAGGCCUUUGUGUGCUAGACAGUCCCACCAAUACUGCUGGUCGGCUUCCUACUUAGACCAUCAAAAAGCCUGCAGGAAAGGGCUCACUGAUGAGUGGCCAGAGGAAGACAAGACACAAUAAACACUUCCACUACUGCUGAAAUAGCAACGCAAGCUCUUUGCAAGAAGAGGUCACCUUUCUUUUGUGGCUGUCCCAUCACAGCUGGCCUUACAUGUGCUUGAGACAUUAAUAGAAAAAGGCAGACAGCUUCCGUAGAGACGGAGCGGGGUGGGGAGGGAGAGGGCAGGACUGUAGGAAGGUCAAACUUUGCAAAGGAAACUCUUCACUGCCGACAAAGGCGGCUUGAUCAUCUUCUUACAGCAAGUUGAGAGUCAGGACAGUGGGGAGAGUAAAGAGGAACAAACCCAGAGACAGUCCCAGUGCCUGCUGCAGAGACAGAGGAAGAGCAGGUCUGCAUGAGACCUUGGCUGCUACUUCCUCCUGUUCUUCGUAGACACUGCUCAAAGAGGGUAAAUAGCCCUGGGACCAGGGGGUUUUGGAAUGUCAGUAUAAUUUCCAACGCUACCAUGGAUUAUUGUAACUGUAUUUGAAGUAAUGCGUUUGAAAUAAAGGGUUCAUUCUUUCAUUUAUUCUUAAAUGUUUACUGAGUAGUUGUUUAUAUGUACCAUAUGUCAGAUGCUGAGGGUGGAAGACUGGAGGAAAAGAGAUACUUCCAGGGUCGGAGAGCUUGCCUAGAACGUGCAAGGUCCUGGAUUCGAUCCCCAGCAGACAACCUCCCACCCAAACACACUUCCGAACGCCCACAAAGGAGGAAAAACAAAUAUAA